RNAcentral lists this ribosomal RNA (464 nucleotides) under Vreelandella stevensii. Its description in RNAcentral is "partial 16S ribosomal RNA". It matches the Rfam family "Bacterial small subunit ribosomal RNA", at positions 338 to 795 of the family's 1533-position model. Lineage: Bacteria; Pseudomonadati; Pseudomonadota; Gammaproteobacteria; Oceanospirillales; Halomonadaceae. The record is from RNAcentral.
CCUACGGGCGGCAGCAGUGGGGAAUAUUGGACAAUGGGCGAAAGCCUGAUCCAGCCAUGCCGCGUGUGUGAAGAAGGCCUUCGGGUUGUAAAGCACUUUCAGUGGGGAAGAAAGCCUUGGGGCUAAUACCCUCGAGGAAGGACAUCACCCACAGAAGAAGCACCGGCUAACUCCGUGCCAGCAGCCGCGGUAAUACGGAGGGUGCGAGCGUUAAUCGGAAUUACUGGGCGUAAAGCGCGCGUAGGCGGUCUGAUAAGCCGGUUGUGAAAGCCCCGGGCUCAACCUGGGAACGGCAUCCGGAACUGUCAGGCUAGAGUGCAGGAGAGGAAGGUAGAAUUCCCGGUGUAGCGGUGAAAUGCGUAGAGAUCGGGAGGAAUACCAGUGGCGAAGGCGGCCUUCUGGACUGACACUGACGCUGAGGUGCGAAAGCGUGGGUAGCAAACAGGAUUAGAUACCCCUGAGUC